GACGAACGCUGGCGGCGUGCCUAAUACAUGCAAGUUGAGCGAUGAAGCUUGGUGCUUGCACCAAUUUGAAGAGCAGCGAACGGGUGAGUAACGCGUGGGGAAUCUGCCUUUGAGCGGGGGACAACAUUUGGAAACGAAUGCUAAUACCGCAUAACAACUUUAAACAUAAGUUUUAAGUUUGAAAGAUGCAAUUGCAUCACUCAAAGAUGAUCCCGCGUUGUAUUAGCUAGUUGGUGAGGUAAAGGCUCACCAAGGCGAUGAUACAUAGCCGACCUGAGAGGGUGAUCGGCCACACUGGGACUGAGACACGGCCCAAACUCCUACGGGAGGCAGCAGUAGGGAAUCUUCGGCAAUGGACGAAAGUCUGACCGAGCAACGCCGCGUGAGUGAAGAAGGUUUUCGGAUCGUAAAACUCUGUUGGUAGAGAAGAACGUUGGUGAGAGUGGAAAGCUCAUCAAGUGACGGUAACUACCCAGAAAGGGACGGCUAACUACGUG
This 497-nucleotide ribosomal RNA is filed under the name uncultured bacterium. RNAcentral's name for it is "partial 16S ribosomal RNA". It matches the Rfam family "Bacterial small subunit ribosomal RNA", at positions 28 to 507 of the family's 1533-position model. The record is from RNAcentral.